This 173-nucleotide ribosomal RNA is filed under the name uncultured Cellulomonas sp. Its description in RNAcentral is "partial 16S ribosomal RNA". It matches the Rfam family "Bacterial small subunit ribosomal RNA", at positions 1214 to 1382 of the family's 1533-position model. The record is from RNAcentral. Lineage: Bacteria; Bacillati; Actinomycetota; Actinomycetes; Micrococcales; Cellulomonadaceae.
CUUCACGCAUGCUACAAUGGCCGGUACAAAGGGCUGCGAUACCGCGAGGUGGAGCGAAUCCCAGAAAGCCGGUCUCAGUUCGGAUUGGGGUCUGCAACUCGACCCCAUGAAGUCGGAGUCGCUAGUAAUCGCAGAUCAGCAACGCUGCGGUGAAUUACCGGUUCCCGGGCCUU